UCGAGUGGCCUCUUGAGAUCUUGAAGCUCCUACUCGACCACGGGGUCGAGUGGUUUGACAUGAUCAGGUCCGCUUCUGCCAGUUAGCUCGUCAAUAGCUCCAAAUCACCUAAAUCAACACAAAUAUUCAACAUGCAUGCAAAUCUAUCCUAAACAUGUAAAGUGAUGACAAAUGAUGAGAAAUGGUAUAAAACAGUGAUGAUAUGAUGCUAAAGUGAUGACAAAUGGAUGCUCAAAACAUGCAACAUACAAACUUAUCAGCUACACUAUCAAAGCUUUGAGAAGCAAGAAGAAGCUUGGUUAGUGUUUUGGAUUCGAAUAUGACUUGAUGUCAUGUGUAUGAUUGAGUAUAAGAACUUAAAUCUCAACCGGAUUUUAAAAGCCUAAGUAGUGUUUCCUUGUUAGAAGAUACAAAGCCAAAGACUCAUACGGAUUUUGAUAAUAGGUUUUUAAGAUCAAUUAUUCUUAAAGCACUAUCAUGUCGUUGUAGUACUGAAAGUUGUCUAUCCAAAUGGGUGUGAUGCAAACAGAUGAGAUGUGAUCAGAAGUCACUAAGUCAAGCCAAGCAAUAAUGGUUUUGGGGUUUCUAACAGUCCUAAACGAACAUGGAAAAAACAGAAAUUUUAACAGAAUUACUAAAAUCACUCGACCACAACUGGCUGAUGCCAGAAAGCAGAACGUGGUCGAGUAACUGGUCGAUUAACAGACAGGAAAUGAAACAGUUAUACUCGACUGCACAGUUUGUUGCCAGACACUGGGUGUGGUCGAGUAUGCUGGUCGAGUAACACACAGGAAAUGAGACAACGGUACUCGACUGCACAGUCUGUUGCCAGACACUAGCUGUGGUCGAGUAAGUUGGUCGAGUGAUUACAAAAAAUAAGAAACAGGCAAUGAGAACGAUAAAGCGAUAACGAUAAAACAGAGAAAUUAGAUAGAGAAGAAAAUCCUAAGGAUGGGAUAAUCGAAUGGAGUUGUAUCCUAGCCUUUCCGGAUGGUUAACAAGAGCAAUCAAGCUAUCCCUAGACAACAGGUUCAACAACAGAUCAAUUCACUCACGUGAUAGAAAUCCUCAAGCAAAGCUAGCCCAGACUAAUUCCCAUUAACCGAAUCUAACUAUGCAGGCAAUAAGAAUAGAUAGAUAAAGUCAAUACACGCUUUAAACGACCAAUCCCUUGGGAUAGAGACGCAUAUCUCAGGAACUAGUGGAUCAAGCAUUCCAUCAAACACCUUCUGGGUAAGGGAAUGCUUUUGAUCGAAUUCUAGUUGAUCAGAAAGAAAUAAGAAGUAAACACAACUAGUCCCGCCGUUUAAUCAGUUCUAAAAACUUAACCAUUCUACAUAAUAAGGAUUCCACAACCAUUCUAUCCCAUCCUUAAGAACUCUAUGUCACUACUCAGACAACAUGCUCAAAGACAUAAACGCAUGUAAAUGAUAAUAUUGCAUAAGUAAAGAGAUAAAGAGUAGAGAAACAAGAUGACCGAUGAAAUCAAAUGCGGAAUCUAAUAUUGCAAGAUGACUUGGAAAAACCUCGAAUUAUAGGUUACAGAAGCAAAAGCAGCGAAACCAGAGUAAAACAUAAAAUAAAACUGAAGCAAAAAACUCAAUGUCGACUAGAUGUCCCAGGACAAAACCCUUAGACACUUAUUUAUACAAAACGAAAUAAAAUGAUAGUAGAUGGGCCGGGAACCUAAUCGACCGACCCAUAGAGUGAUAAUGGGCCGAGAUGGACUUCGUGAUGGGAUGAAGCUCUGGACCGCUUCCAAACACUUCUUCUUCUCCUCUUCUCUUCCUUGUGCUCAGCCUGUCUGGUUGAGUGCGUUUUUGAGUAGACUCUAAAGAUGUGGUUAAGUGCUUGGUCGAGUACUGGUGUUGGUGGUGAGUGAUGAUACUCGACCCGGGGGUCGAGUAAUGUGGUAGAGCGAAUGGCCGAGUGGUAUGACGAAGUGAAACUCGACCAGGGGGUCGAGUGAUGUCAUCGAGUGGCCUGAGCUGCGGUUACUCGACCACGGGGUCGAGUAGAUGGGAAGAAUGGCUCCAAUGUCACUCGAUCAGGGGGUCGAGUAUGGUGCUGGAUGUACUCGUCCUGGGUGGUCGAUUAUGUCUUCUGGUUCAGGCUCGCUUCUUCCAAUUUGCUCGCCAACAACCCCAAAUCACCUGAAAACAACUCAGAAAUUCAAUAUCUAUGCAAAGCUAUCCUAAUCAUGCAAAGUAUGCAAGAUGAUGAGAAAUGAUGAUAAUAUAUUUUUAGUCAAUUAUUCCUAAAACACCAAUCAUGUCAUUGUAGUAUUUUAGGUGUCAAUCCAAAUGGGUGUGAUGCAAACAGAUGAGAUGUGAUCAGAAGUCUCUAAGUCAAGCCAAGCAAUAACAGAUUUGGGGUUUCUAACAGUCCUAAGCGAACAUGCAGAAAACAGAAGCAAUAACAGAAUUACUAAAAUCACUCGACCACAACAGGCUGAUGCCAGAAGUAGGAUGUGGUCGAGUAAUAGACAGGAUAUGAAACAGCUAUACUCGACUGUACAGUCUGUUGCCAGACACUGGGUGUGGUCGAGUAAGUUGGUCGAGUGAUUGUAAAAACUAAGAAACAGGCAAUGAGAACGAUUAAGCGAUAACGAUAAAACAGAGAAAUAAGGUAGACGAGAAAUUCCUAAGGAUGGGGUAAUCGAGUAGAGUGGUGUCCUAGCCUAUUCGAAUGGUUAACAAGCGCAAUCAAGCUAUCCCUAGACAACAGGUUCAACAACAGAUCAAUCCACUCCCGUGAUAGAAAUCCUCAAGCAAAGCUAGCCCAAACUAAUUCCCAUUAACGGAAUCUAACUAUGCAGGCAAUACGAACAGACUGAUAAAGUCAAUAAACGCUCUAAACGGCCAAUCCCUUGGGAUAGAGACGCAUAUCUCAGGAACUAGUGGAUCAAGCAUUCCAUCGAACACCUUCUGGGUGCGGGAAUGCUUGGGAUCGAAUUCCAGUUGAUCAGAAAGAAAUAAGCAGUAAACGCAACUAGUCCUAAAGGGAUUCAAUCAAUUCUAAAACUUAACCAUUCUACAGACUACGGAUUCCACAACUACUCUAUCCCAUCCCUAAGAAUUCUAAGUCACUACUCAGACAGCAUGCUCAAAGACAUAAACGCAGGUAAACGAUAAUAUUGCAUAAGUAAAGAGAUAAAGAGUAGAGAAACAAGAUGACUAAUGAAAUCAAACGCGGAAUCUCAAUAACUUGGAAAAAUCGCGAACUACAGGUUGCAGAAGCAAAAGCGGCGUAGCAGAGUAAAACUGAAAAUAAAACUAAAGCAAAAACGCAAUGUCCACUAGAUGUUUUAGGACAGAACCCUAAAACAUCUAUUUAUACCAAACGAAAUAAAAUGAUAGUAGACGGGCCAAUAACCUAAUCGCCCGGCCCAUAGAGUGAUAAUGGGCCGAGAUGGGCUUCGUGAUCCGAUGAAGGUCCAGGCCGCUUCCAAACACUUUGUCUUCUCCUCUUUUCUUCCUUGUGCUCAGCUUGUCUGGUUGAGUGCGGAUUUGAGUAGACUGUGAAGACGUGAUCGAGUGUCCGGUCGAGUGAUGGUGAUGGUGGUGAGUGAUGAUACUUGACCAGGGGGUCGAGUAACGUGGUAGAGUGAAUGGUCGAGUGUGGUCAGGUGGUGUGGCGAAGCGGUACUCGACCGGGGGUCGAGUAAUGUCGUCGAGUGGCCUGAGCGGAGGUUACUCGACCUGGUGGUCGAGUGGACGGGAAGAAUGGCUCCAAAGUCACUCGACCUGGGGGUCGAGUAUGUGGGAAGAAUGGCUCCAAAGUCACUCGGCCUGGGGGUCGAGUAUGUCUUCUGGUUCUGGCUCGUUUCUUCCAAUUUGCUCGCAAACAGCUCCAAAUCACCUGAAAACAACUCAGAAAUGCAAUAUGUAUGCAAAGCUAUCCUAAUCAUGCAAAGUGUGCAAGAAUGAUGAGAAAUGAUAUAAAACAGUGAUGAAUGAUACGAAACUAGACUCAAAGUGAUGAUGAAUAGACACUGAAAACAUGCAAAUUAUAGACAUAUCAACUCCCCCAAACUUAGUCUUUGCUUGCCCUCAAGCAAAUAAGAAGACAUAGUUGAAGGAGAGGAGUGAAGGCGGGGACUCAGAACCAAAGCAUAUGAUAGAGCAAAUAAAAUCAAUGUCCAAGUUGGUAGUUCUAAGAUGCGAUAUGAUUGAAUUCCACUCAAAAACGUUAGCCAUGCCUUGUUAUCAAUAAAUCCGUCUCUUAUACUCGACCUACACAUGUUUUCAAAUCUACCAAUCCCUUUAACAUUCAUUAGUUCUGGAACGUGAAUCAAGCAAUGCAUCAUCAAUGAACUCAUUUGGCUAAGGUGAAGGUCAAGAGACAAAGAUGGUCCCCUACAGAAUAAGCUUAAGUAACAGGGGAUCCCUCAAGAAUGAUUGAGCUUUAGUAGAAUGCUAAAGGUAAGUCCCAAGUUAUGCAUACAGAGAUAAGAUCCCAUCUACCCAGAGUAUAACAAUGAAGCUCUAAUGGUAAUCCCAACUCCUGUCCCAACUUAACUCUACCCUUUGCACUCAUGAAUCUUUCAAACUCUUUUUCAUAUCAUUCUUUUUUUU
Molecule: small RNA, 4577 nt
Filed under: Arabidopsis thaliana (thale cress)
Lineage: Eukaryota; Viridiplantae; Streptophyta; Magnoliopsida; Brassicales; Brassicaceae
Description: ATSL268950
Source: RNAcentral